RNAcentral lists this ribosomal RNA (465 nucleotides) under uncultured bacterium. RNAcentral's name for it is "bacterial SSU rRNA". It matches the Rfam family "Bacterial small subunit ribosomal RNA", at positions 32 to 507 of the family's 1533-position model. The record is from RNAcentral.
AAUCAACGCUGGCGGCGUGCCUCAGACAUGCAAGUCGAACGAUUAAAGCUCUCUUCGGAGAGUGUAUAGAGUGGCGCACGGGUGAGUAACACGUAAGUAAUCUACCCUCGAGUGGGGAAUAACAACCGGAAACGGUUGCUAAUACCGCAUAAUGCAGCGGCACCGCAAGGUGACAGUUGUUAAAGAUUUAUCGCUUGAGGAGGAGCUUGCGGCAGAUUAGCUAGUUGGUAGGGUAACGGCUUACCAAGGCUACGAUCUGUAACCGGUCUAAGAGGACGGUCGGUCACACUGACACUGAAUAACGGGUCAGACUCCUACGGGAGGCAGCAGUCGGGAAUUUUGGGCAAUGGGCGAAAGCCUGACCCAGCAACGCCGCGUGAAGGAUGAAGUAUUUCGGUAUGUAAACUUCGAAAGAAUAGGAAGAAUUAAUGACGGUACUAUUUAUAAGGUCCGGCUAACUGCGUG